AACGAACGCUGGCGGCAUGCCUAACACAUGCAAGUCGAACGAGACCUUCGGGUCUAGUGGCGCACGGGUGCGUAACGCGUGGGAACCUGCCCUUAGGUUCGGAAUAACUCCCCGAAAGGGGUGCUAAUACCGGAUAAUGUCUUCGGACCAAAGAUUUAUCGCCUUUGGAUGGGCCCGCGUUGGAUUAGCUAGUUGGUAGGGUAAAAGCCUACCACGGCGACGAUCCAUAGCUGGUCUGAGAGGAUGAUCAGCCACACUGGGACUGAGACACGGCCCAGACUCCUACGGGAGGCAGCAGUGGGGAAUAUUGGACAAUGGGCGAAAGCCUGAUCCAGCAAGGCCGCGUGAGUGAUGAAGGCCUUAGGGUUGUAAAGCUCUUUUACCCGGGAUGAUAAUGACAGUACCGGGAGAAUAAGCUCCGGCUAACUCCGUG
This 433-nucleotide ribosomal RNA is filed under the name uncultured bacterium. Its description in RNAcentral is "partial 16S ribosomal RNA". It matches the Rfam family "Bacterial small subunit ribosomal RNA", at positions 29 to 507 of the family's 1533-position model. The record is from RNAcentral.